RNAcentral lists this transfer RNA (75 nucleotides) under Deltaproteobacteria bacterium GWA2_55_10. Its description in RNAcentral is "tRNA-Val". It matches the Rfam family "tRNA". Rfam says of the family: Transfer RNA (tRNA) molecules are approximately 80 nucleotides in length. Their secondary structure includes four short double-helical elements and three loops (D, anti-codon, and T loops). RNAcentral also lists the same sequence under 14 other names. Lineage: Bacteria; Deltaproteobacteria. The record is from RNAcentral.
AGGCGCGUAGCUCAGGGGUAGAGCGCUACCUUGACACGGUAGAGGUCGGCGGUUCGAAACCGCCCGUGCCUACCA